RNAcentral lists this ribosomal RNA (477 nucleotides) under Azospirillum cavernae. RNAcentral describes it as "bacterial SSU rRNA". It matches the Rfam family "Bacterial small subunit ribosomal RNA", at positions 1 to 519 of the family's 1533-position model. The record is from RNAcentral. Lineage: Bacteria; Pseudomonadati; Pseudomonadota; Alphaproteobacteria; Rhodospirillales; Azospirillaceae.
UCGAUUUGAACCUGAGAGUUUGAUCCUGGCUCAGAACGAACGCUGGCGGCAUGCCUAACACAUGCAAGUCGAACGAAGGCUUCGGCCUUAGUGGCGCACGGGUGAGUAACACGUGGGAAUCUGCCUUUCGGUUCGGAAUAACGUUUGGAAACGAACGCUAACACCGGAUACGCCCUUUGGGGGAAAGUUUACGCCGAGAGAGGAGCCCGCGUCCGAUUAGGUAGUUGGUGAGGUAACGGCUCACCAAGCCGACGAUCGGUAGCUGGUCUGAGAGGAUGAUCAGCCACACUGGGACUGAGACACGGCCCAGACUCCUACGGGAGGCAGCAGUGGGGAAUAUUGGACAAUGGGCGCAAGCCUGAUCCAGCAAUGCCGCGUGAGUGAUGAAGGCCUUAGGGUUGUAAAGCUCUUUCGCACGUGACGAUAAUGACGGUAACGUGAGAAGAAGCCCCGGCUAACUUCGUGCCAGCAGCCGCG